Molecule: ribosomal RNA, 406 nt
Filed under: uncultured bacterium
Lineage: Bacteria
Description: partial 16S ribosomal RNA
Rfam family: Bacterial small subunit ribosomal RNA
Source: RNAcentral
AUUGAACGCUGGCUGCAGGCCUAACACAUGCCAGUCGAACGAGUGGCGGACGGGUGAGUCAUGUCUGGGAAACUGCCCGCUGGAGGGGGAUAACUACUGGAAACGGUAGCUAAUACCGCAUCCCCUCGGGUGUGCCCAGAGGGGAUUAGCUAGUAGGUGGGGUAACGGCUCACCUAGGCGACGAUCCCUAGCUGGUCUGUGAGGAUGACGAGCAAGAGUGGAAAUGAGAAACGGGAGAGACACGUACGGGAGGCAGAAGGGGGGAAGAUGGCACAAGGGGCGCAAGGCUGAUGCAGCCAUGCCGCGUGUAGGAAGAAGGCAGUGGGGUGGUAAAGGACUUUCAGCGGGGAGGCGUUACUCGCAGAAGAAGCACCGGCUAACUCCGUGCCAGCGGCCGCGGUAAGUC